GGACCAUUCCUCUGCCUUUGGAGAUGCUUGCUGAGCAGCUGGGAAAGCACUGAUGUUGAGGAAUGGGAGAGAUGGUGCUACUCUGAGUCUUGCUCCACUGCCUCUGGUUGGACUUGCAUAGUUGGCCCUGCAAACCUCAAGCAUCCUCUCACAGCUCAGAUCAACAUCCUCUGCUCACUGCAAAUCCUCCUCUGGAAAGAAGCACAAGUGACCAUUCCUUGCACCUCGAAAUUCUUGGAGGUGUACUGGUCCUGGAGCCUCUGUGCUGUGCAGAUGAAGUCACGGGUGGACACAUCGCUGGGAGCGGGGAAAGAGGCGCGGGGACGAGCCCAGGGGCGUGCGGCACGGAAACAGUGCAGGAGCAGCCGACAUAGCCCCCACCAGAGCAGGGAGCAGCAUGCAGAGCCAGCCAGGCUCCUCACAGCUCCGGAUGAAGGGAGGAUGAGCAAUCCUCAGGAGCACCUGGAUAGGGUUUUGGCUGGGAGCAAAGAGAGCAUGGAGAGCGUCAGUGAGGAACCAGGCAUGGAGCUGGCUUUUUGCACUGGAGACAACGAUGGGAUUGAGGAAGAUGGAGAAACCUCAGAGGAGCUGCUGCCGAGUUUCCCCAGUGAGCUCUCAGUGCUGGAGAAAUUGGGACUGCACAGCACAAAUUUGACGGAGCAGGACGUGGAGGUGAGGGCUUGUGGGUGGGCUAGGGAAGGGGAAAGGAGAC
Molecule: long non-coding RNA, 712 nt
Filed under: Chrysolophus pictus (golden pheasant)
Lineage: Eukaryota; Metazoa; Chordata; Aves; Galliformes; Phasianidae
Description: lncRNA (ENSCPIG00010002881.1)
Source: RNAcentral